Molecule: ribosomal RNA, 495 nt
Filed under: uncultured bacterium
Lineage: Bacteria
Description: bacterial SSU rRNA
Rfam family: Bacterial small subunit ribosomal RNA
Source: RNAcentral
GAUGAACGCUAGCGGCAGGCUUAACACAUGCAAGUCGAGGGGCAGCAUGAAGCGGAGAUUCGUCGAAGCUUUGAUGGCGACCGGCGCAAGGGUGCGUAACGCGUGAGCAACUUGCCCGUUUCAGGGGGAUAACCGGUGGAAACGCCGACUAAUACCCCAUGGCAUCGUUAUGAGGCAUCUCAUUGCGAUUAAAGAAUUUCGGAAACGGAUAGGCUCGCGUGACAUUAGCUAGAUGGCGGGGUAACGGACCACCGUACCGACGAUGCGUAGGGGUUCUGAGAGGAAGGUCCCCCACACUGGUACUGAGACACGGACCAGACUCCUACGGGAGGCAGCAGUGAGGAAUAUUGGUCAAUGGUCGGGAGACUGAACCAGCCAAGCCGCGUGAGGGAAGAAGGCGCUAAGCGUCGUAAACCUCUUUUGUCGGGGAACAAACCGGAGGCCACGUGUGCCUUUCUGAGUGUACCCGAAGAAAAAGCAUCGGCUAACUCCGUG